UACGGAGGGUGCAAGCGGUAUCCGGAAUCACUGGGUUUAAAGGGUGCGUAGGCUGCUGCAUAAGUCAGGGGUGAAAGUUUGUCGCUUAACGAUAGAAUUGCCUUUGAUACUGUGCGGCUUGAAAUUAGGUGAGGUUGGCGGAAUGUGACAUGUAGCGGUGAAAUGCGUAGAUAUGUCAGAGAACACCGAUUGCGAAGGCAGCUGGCUAACCUAAAGUUGACGCUGAGGCACGAAAGAGUGGGUAGCAAACAGG
This 253-nucleotide ribosomal RNA is filed under the name uncultured bacterium. Its description in RNAcentral is "partial 16S ribosomal RNA". It matches the Rfam family "Bacterial small subunit ribosomal RNA", at positions 524 to 776 of the family's 1533-position model. The record is from RNAcentral.